Non-coding RNA from Elusimicrobia bacterium GWF2_62_30, 72 nucleotides. NCBI's taxonomy places the organism in Bacteria, Pseudomonadati, Elusimicrobiota. The record is from Rfam.
CGGGGCGUGGCUCAAUGGUAGAGCGUUCGCUUGGGGUGCGAAAGAUUGCGGGUCCGAUUCCCGCCGCCCCGA